RNAcentral lists this ribosomal RNA (443 nucleotides) under uncultured marine eukaryote. RNAcentral's name for it is "SSU rRNA". It matches the Rfam family "Eukaryotic small subunit ribosomal RNA", at positions 613 to 1060 of the family's 1831-position model. The record is from RNAcentral.
UUGCGGUUAAAAAGCUCGUAGUUGGAUUUCUGUCGAAGACUGCCGGUCCGCUCUAUGAGCGUGUAUCUGGUUAGGCUUUGGCAUCCUCUUGAAGAACGUUGCUGUGCUUAAUUGCAUGGUGCGGAAUUCAAGACUUUUACUUUGAGGAAAUUAGAGUGUUCACGGCAGGCAAGCGCCUUGAAUACAUUAGCAUGGAAUAAUAAUAUAGGAUCGCGAUUCUAUUUUGUUGGUUUCUAGAGUCACGAUAAUGAUUAAUAGGGAUAAUUGGGGGCAUUUGUAUUAACGCGUCAGAGGUGGAAUUCUUGGAUUGCGUUACGACAAACUACUGCGAAAGCAUUUGCCAAGGAUGUUUUCAUUGAUCAAGAACGAAAGUAUGGGGAUCGAAGAUGAUUAGAUACCGUCGUGGUCUAUACCAUAAACUAUGCCAACUAGAGAUUGGAGGU